RNAcentral lists this ribosomal RNA (430 nucleotides) under Klebsiella granulomatis. RNAcentral's name for it is "bacterial SSU rRNA". It matches the Rfam family "Bacterial small subunit ribosomal RNA", at positions 26 to 453 of the family's 1533-position model. Lineage: Bacteria; Pseudomonadati; Pseudomonadota; Gammaproteobacteria; Enterobacterales; Enterobacteriaceae. The record is from RNAcentral.
AGAUUGAACGCUGGCGGCAGGCCUAACACAUGCAAGUCGAGCGGUAGCACAGAGAGCUUGCUCUCGGGUGACGAGCGGCGGACGGGUGAGUAAUGUCUGGGAAACUGCCUGAUGGAGGGGGAUAACUACUGGAAACGGUAGCUAAUACCGCAUAACGUCGCAAGACCAAAGUGGGGGACCUUCGGGCCUCAUGCCAUCAGAUGUGCCCAGAUGGGAUUAGCUAGUAGGUGGGGGUAAUGGCUCACCUAGGCGACGAUCCCUAGCUGGUCUGAGAGGAUGACCAGCCACACUGGAACUGAGACACGGUCCAGACUCCUACGGGAGGCAGCAGUGGGGAAUAUUGCACAAUGGGCGCAAGCCUGAUGCAGCCAUGCCGCGUGUGUGAAGAAGGCCUUCGGGUUGUAAAGCACUUUCAGCGGGGAGGAAGGCG